Molecule: long non-coding RNA, 2901 nt
Organism: Sapajus apella (tufted capuchin)
Lineage: Eukaryota; Metazoa; Chordata; Mammalia; Primates; Cebidae
Exons: 3
Source: RefSeq, a predicted model, not a curated record
GAGAAUUAGGAGGGGAGGAAGACGGGAGGAGAGGAGGUGGAAGAGGAGGAGACUAUAGCACCCUUAUCAGCCUCCAGUUCUUGGUGCACCCCGUUCUGCGAGACACUCUCCUGUGGUCCGCCCUGGCCUGCAGGGGAUCCCCACGCUGAACCUCUGAGGAAGGCUGGCACCCUCUCUCCAGCACAUUCCCGGUGCCCUUGCUGAAGCAUGUGUCCUCAGGGCCCUCUCCUGAAACAUGAUCCUCCGAGGUGUCUUCUGGCCUCACCUCUUCUGUCCAGAUCCAGCAAGCUCACGUUGCUCAGCCGUUGAACCCCUUCCUUCACCGUCUGCACUGACAGUCCGGGCCUUUCACCAUCACUCAGGCAUGGACCAUCGCUGUUGCCCAUCCCAUGCCAUCCACAGGACUGGCACAUCCUGCCCGUGCAGCUCUGUGCUGCAGCUUCCCUCUGGUCACGGGUCUGGCCGUCGGCUCACCGAUUCCUCCAGCUUCCACGGGACUCUCUGGGUGUUAGCACUGCAAGUUCCUCAGCAAACUGGGACUGUCGGUCACCUACCUGGCAGCCAGUGAUAAGGGCCUGUGUCGUUGGCAUGAUAGACCUGCCUUGGUUGAGCGUUCAGCUGUCUUUGGAGUUCAGCCACCUUAGCAAGUCCUGGGUUUGUUCUUCAGAUUUUGCUGCUCGCCCAUUGCCUGGAUCGGGGGCUACUUUGUAAACCACCAGGACGACUCCAGUGCUUCUGCUUAAUUUUUAGACGUUUGUUGAUUGCCCUUGGCCUCUCAUUAACCCCGUGUGCGUCAUCCGGGCAACGUAGUCACCACCAUCCACUCCCUGAGUUUCCAUUUCCAGACGUCCGUCCUGCCUGGGUCUCCUCACCUGCCAGGAACUUCCUCUUCACAAGCUACCCGUCCCAUCAAAAGCUCUAACACCAAAGAUCUAGCAACUAGGCUGCCAUUUUGUGCCUGGAGCCACCUGCAUGCCACCUAUGCCCAAAGAUGGGAACCUCGUUGCCUCCUGGGCAGUUGCAGGGUGAUCCUGUACCAAGACUCCAUCUUACAACUUGCUGUCUUGGACCACUCUGGAACCCACUGUCUCAGAUUGGGUCCUUUAGGAAGCAGACCGUGAGAGGGAGUUGGCAGGGCCAGAGGUUUACCAGGGCUAACUUGCACUCAGGAAAGGGACAGGAAGGAAGCAGGGCUGGAGAGCAGGUUGGGCCAGACCUGACAGUCUCGAGCAGCCCAAGAGGGAGGUGUGGAGCAAGGGUUGCCCAUUAGAGGGACCUGCAUUGGGCAUGGGUGGUGGGGUCCACAUGGUACCUGGCACACAGCAGGCCGUGCAAUCCAUCUUAACUGACUGGAUGAAUUAAUGCCAAGGAAAGGUGCUCUGGAUAGCGGGUAUAUGCUGAGCAGCACAGGGAAGGGCCCAGCAUCUGUCUUUGCACAGCCAGAACUGUGCUGUGCCCUGCAACAGGCCACCCGAGAGCUGCUUUGAGCUUGCGUGUGCAUUAGACAACUCUCAGGGGCACGAAGCUUUGCUGGCAGGGCGCCUCGUGACCUGUUGGUAUUGGUGUGAGCACAGCCUGGCAGGAGAGGGCAGAUCUCGGCACAAAGUAUCAUGUCAAAAAGCAGAUCAGAGCCCGGCCCCCUCCUGGAAGAGGCUCCUUGAGGGUAGGUGCACGCUCAUGCCUUUGUUACUUAUAAGGGGGCAUCUGACAGGCAGAAGGAAUUAGGUGAAUGGGAAGAGGGAGGGACUGCUCACUCUGGGCAAGGGACUGGGGGAGGCUUCUCAGAGGAGGGGGUGUUCGAGUGGCGUCUUGAAGGCCGAAAGGGUUUUGUUAGGUGGAAAAUGGGGGAGUGACAGCCUGUAAGAGUUAGGUACAUUCAGGGAGCCCAGAGAAGGUUUGUGGCUGGACCAGAUCCAUUUGUAGAGUGAAGUCGUGGGAGAAGAGGCUGGGAAACUAGGUUGGGUCCAACUCCUAAAGGCCCACUGAAGGAAUGUGGGCUGCAUGCUGGGUGCAGCAGCUGAGUGUCCUCACUUGUGUUGCACUGUCAGCAUUUUAAAAAGGCAAACCGUGGUUCUCUUACAGAGAAGAAUUCAUUGAUUCACUCAUGAGGCCAGCAAGUCAUCUGACAAACCUUCCUGUACUUCUGAUGGGGCAGGAGUGUUUCUAGACAACAGGCACACAAAUAUAAGAUCCAGCCCAGUGCAGCUCAGGAGCAGCCUUCCACGGAUCAGUGGCUGGUACCUCCGGCAUGCUCCUGUCCUUGCCUAUCUGAACAUAUGGGUAGUAACCUUAAGCAGUCUCCUGACUUGUCUCAGUCUCCUGACUUGUGAUAAUGUUUCCAAUUCUUGUUCUUGACUGUAGAAUGAAGUUUGGAGAGAUGUCGUUAGGUCUCUAGGUUCUGAGGAUUACUAUGGGGUAGGCAGAGGGAGAGAAGCGUGUUGGGGCCAGAUGUUCCCGUGCUUCUACCAGAAACUUGAUUUGCCCAGUGUACCACCCUCACUUGGUGGGUGUAAGCAGAAUGGCCUGCCACUGACAACCCAGAGAAAGAAGGUACAGCGCGGGCUUGCCCUGGUGGGCUCUUGAAUGCCCUGAGCUGCAGCAGCAUCCAGGGCCAGGUGGUACUUGGUAGGGCCAGCCCCCCACCCACUGUGUCUGAUCAUACUGCCUUUGAAAGAGGAGGGUAGGUGAUGAAGACAAGAUGAUGAGAUAGGGUGGCCUCACACCCAACUGGAACAUUUGCAAAUGAUACUUGGCGAAAGCUUUAGGAAAGAGGCCGCUUCAUUUAUGAAAUGAUACUAGCUAAUGUUUGACCUUAGUCAUAUGUUGCUUGAUUCCUCGGUUUGCCAUCUGCUGGCUGACCCAUACAACUUCACUUUUAAUUAAAGGUGGGUUGUGAUCAGA